GUUAAGCGACUAAGCGUACACGGUGGAUGCCCUGGCAGUCAGAGGCGAUGAAGGGCGUGCUAAUCUGCGAUAAGCGCCGGUAAGGUGAUAUGAACCGUUAUAACCGGCGAUACCCGAAUGGGGAAACCCAGUGUGACUCGUCACACUAUCAUUAACUGAAUCCAUAGGUUAAUGAGGCGAACCGGGGGAACUGAAACAUCUAAGUACCCCGAGGAAAAGAAAUCAACCGAGAUUCCCCCAGUAGCGGCGAGCGAACGGGGAGGAGCCCAGAGCCUGAAUCAGCAUGUGUGUUAGUGGAAGCGUCUGGAAAGGCGCGCGAUACAGGGUGACAGCCCCGUACACAAAAGCGCAUGUGCUGUGAGCUCGAUGAGUAGGGCGGGACACGUGGUAUCCUGUCUGAAUAUGGGGGGACCAUCCUCCAAGGCUAAAUACUCCUGACUGACCGAUAGUGAACCAGUACCGUGAGGGAAAGGCGAAAAGAACCCCGGCGAGGGGAGUGAAAAAGAACCUGAAACCGUGUACGUACAAGCAGUGGGAGCACAGGUUUACCUGUGUGACUGCGUACCUUUUGUAUAAUGGGUCAGCGACUUAUAUUCUGUAGCAAGGUUAACCG
RNAcentral lists this ribosomal RNA (613 nucleotides) under Salmonella enterica. Its description in RNAcentral is "partial 23S ribosomal RNA". It matches the Rfam family "Bacterial large subunit ribosomal RNA", at positions 1 to 652 of the family's 2925-position model. Lineage: Bacteria; Pseudomonadati; Pseudomonadota; Gammaproteobacteria; Enterobacterales; Enterobacteriaceae. The record is from RNAcentral. RNAcentral also lists the same sequence under 1 other name.